UACAAAUGUUUAAUAACAUAGUGGAGUUUC
Molecule: non-coding RNA, 30 nt
Filed under: Mus musculus (house mouse)
Lineage: Eukaryota; Metazoa; Chordata; Mammalia; Rodentia; Muridae
Source: RNAcentral